Molecule: transfer RNA, 69 nt
Filed under: Bolitobius castaneus
Lineage: Eukaryota; Metazoa; Arthropoda; Insecta; Coleoptera; Staphylinidae
Description: tRNA-Leu
Source: RNAcentral
UCUAAUGUGGCAGAAUAGUGUGAUGGAUUUAAACCCCAUUUAUAAAGUCCCCCCCCCCUUUCUUUAGAA